GACGGGUGAGUAACGCGAGGGAACCUGCCCAGUGGUGGGGGAUAACUGCGGGAAACUGCAGCUAAUACCUCAUGNCCCCGAGAGGGGAAAGAUUUAUCGCCAUUGGAGGGGCCCGCGUUCGAUUAGGUAGUUGGUGGGGUAAUGGCCCACCAAGCCUACGAUCGAUAGCUGGUCUGAGAGGAUGAUCAGCCACACUGGGACUGAGAUACGGCCCAGACUCCUACGGGAGGCAGCAGUGGGGAAUAUUGGACAAUGGGGGCAACCCUGAUCCAGCAAUGCCGCGUGAGUGAUGAAGGCCUUCGGGUUGUAAAGCUCUUUUGCCAGGGACGAUGAUGACGGUACCUGAGAGAAUAAGCCCCGGCUAACUUCGUGCCAGCAGCCGCGGUAAUACGAAGGGGGCAAGCGUUGUUCGGAAUUACUGGGCGUAAAGGGCGCGUA
This 438-nucleotide ribosomal RNA is filed under the name uncultured Alphaproteobacteria bacterium. Its description in RNAcentral is "bacterial SSU rRNA". It matches the Rfam family "Bacterial small subunit ribosomal RNA", at positions 100 to 573 of the family's 1533-position model. Lineage: Bacteria; Pseudomonadati; Pseudomonadota; Alphaproteobacteria. The record is from RNAcentral.